Molecule: long non-coding RNA, 4713 nt
Organism: Oncorhynchus tshawytscha (Chinook salmon)
Lineage: Eukaryota; Metazoa; Chordata; Actinopteri; Salmoniformes; Salmonidae
Source: Ensembl
AAAUCAAUUACGCAGUUUAUAAUUGCACACAAUAGAGGGCUUGCAGUUGCGUCACAAACCACCUAGCAACCGCAAUUGGAGCCAUGUUGGAAGACCAAUCAGUCUGUUGGAAGUCCUCCAACUGUCCAAAAGGCUGGCUGUGUUCUGCUAUCACUGGAAACUUCGGGAAGAUUGCCCAUUAUUUUGUUUUUCUAAGGACCCAGAAAACGGAGGCAUUGGGAGAACCUAUUCAAAUAUAGAGAGCCGUGAAACCCUGCCUGCAGCUGAAGAGGUCCCAAUGAAUGUCCCAAAAGAAUAAAAGGAGCCUCCCAAGUGACGUAGCGGUCUAAGGCACUGCAUCGCAGUGCUAGAGGCGUUACUACAGACCCAGAUUUGAUCCCAGGCUGUGUCACAGCCAGCUGCGACCAGGAGACCCAUGAGGUGGCGCACAUGCACAAUUGGCCCAGUGUCAUCCAGGUUAGGGGAGGGUGUCCCAUCACGCGCUAGCAACUCCCUGUGCCAGGCCAGUAUGGUGUUUCCUCCGACACAUUGGUGCGCCUGGCUUCUGGGUUAAGUAAACAGUGUGUCAAGAACAUGUGCAGCAUGGCAGGGUUGUGUUUCGGAGGAUGCUUUCAACCUUCACCUCUCACGAGUCCGUACGGGAGUUGCAGCGAUGGGACAAGACUAACUACCAAUUUGGACAUCACAAAAAAGGGGUGUUGCUGUGGUAGCUGUUGAGCGAGCAAGAGAGAGGGAGGGUAGAAGUGUUUACUGUGCAGUAUGCCAUGGCGACAGUGCAGUAGCUCAUGGUGUACAGACAGGCCCUCUGCGUGUGGUGUUCUGCAGCAUCAGCAUUCGGACAGGGGCCAGACGCUCGAUUUAUGGUGCCAGGGAGCGGAAAUGACCUGCUUCUGUCAUUGGGUGUAUGCCCCAUCACGAGAGGCCCUAAACUAUAUUGGCACAGCUCUGACAGACAUGUUUGUCAUCUAGUCAUCUUUGAAGAUACCAAGCAAGCAGUAUUAUUGAUUUGACAAGCUCCAGCUAUCUCUCUAGGUGCACACUGUUCCUGUCUCUCCAGCCCACACCACCCUGCCUGAGAGGCAUCCCUGUGGAUCCCACGUUGGUAUGAUUAAUUCCAUAAUUUCUAUGGUUUACACUAUAUUCAACGGAAAUACAGUAACAUAUCCUAUUAAGUUUAAAAGGAAUCAGAAUUCCUGUACAUGCAUAAGCAAACUCUUCCUCGUUGAUUAGUUCUCAUUAAUGAUUUCAACAGUCAUUUAUGCAUUUUGUAUGCCACCUUACCUGCUAUAUAAUUACCUAUACUAUCUGUAUGACGUUUUGAUUUAUUUUGAGUGUGCUACAAUGGACCGCAGACUCGUACGAGAGAGUGAUUCCAUGCUCCUCUGACGCAUGAACCUUCUGGUAGUGUUGCAUGAACAGUGACACCUUCUGGCACUCCCUAAACACAAUCCAAACAAGUUAAAUGUGUACAAAAGUUCACCCUAAUCAUAGAGCAUAGUAAAACCAAUUGAUUUCUUAUGUGUAAUUAUUUAAUUGUGUAAUUAAUGAAUGGAAGAUGAAUAAAUACUUAUAUGUAGUGAGUUAGUUCAGCCUUGAGAUGUGAAAUAUUAGUUAAUCUUAUUUAUUUGUUUUACCUUUUAUUUAACUAGGCAAGUCAGUUAAGAACAAAUUCUUAUUUUAAAUGAUGGCCUAGGACAGAUGUUUACCUUGUCAGCUCGGGGAUUCAAUCUUGCAACCUUUCGGUUACUAGUCCAACGCUCUAACCACUAGACUACCUGCCGCCCCUUAUGUCUUACAUUUUGUGAUGAAUAACAAUGGGAUUAUACACAUGUCAAUCACAUCUAAGAGCUACACCACUGACUGAAACACAUCAAACACUUUGUCACCAGGUAUUUCUCAUCCAAAUAUAUCAAGAGCAGAAUAACGUUUUACCAUUUAGUAGCCUAAACCCAUACCCUGGAGACAAUACACCACAGCUUUCAUUAUCCAAUCACAAACUCAUAUGUUUCCCUUUGUCAGAUGAUGUAAAUGUGAUUCCUUUUAAUUAUGGCCAUUGACUGGAAACUCCAAAUUAAUUUGAUUACGUUUUGCAUAUAAAAAUCCAUCUUAAUUAUUACCCAAUUAACACAUAUUAAGGCACGUUAAAAGCCAGGCAUUAAAAUCAAUUUGUGAUUAUGUCUUUUUUGACUGAAAAUAUGCUUUAAUGAGUGAAUGUGGGGACAUAGGACAUUGUUUCGGGAAUGAAAAUGUGUGAAUUCCGUUGUAAAAACAGAAUUAGCGACAUGGAUAAAUGAAGCACAUGAGAAUUGUCUAUAGCCUCAGCUUAAAUGCCUCAGCUUAAAGGCUUCUAGCUAUAAUCCUUCUACAAUUUAAAGAAUACGGUAUCUAACUGUACGUACACUCAAAAGAAUCAAAUAAAUCUGCCUCCAAACACAACAGGAUGACACACAACUUCAGCGGCCACACGAUUAAUAUAAAACUGAUCAUAUUUUGUAGAUGAAAAAAUGCACAUACUUCCCUCUUCCUAUUACCACUAAAUCCAUGAUCUGUUUUCAUCUAUUCAAUCCGCCAAAUCUUUAAGUAUUUUCCCCAUUCCCCAAGCCCAUCCACAGAGCACUGUUUCACAUCCACUCAAAUGAAUAUUUUAUAGAGAUGCAAAGAUUUUCUCCUUCUCAAUGUGCAAUCAAAUGCAAUGCAAUGCAGUGCUGCAGAGAUGUUAAAGGAGAGAUAUAGAGACACAUCUAAAGGAAGAAAUCCAUUUUUCUCUGCCCUUGCAUUCAUUACAGAAUCAAUGCUCCUCUCGGGAGACUGGUUCAAAAACCCUGUUUUAUUUUGAUCUUCAGAGAAACAAAUGCUCUUGGAAGUCGCCACAGUACAUGCAUUAAAAGAUUGGCGAGGCUAGAAAUGAAUACAGUAACCCGGCUGACAUCACAUUAAGAUGUGGAAUGUUGACUGGGUCUUUAUGGACAUGUUUUUUGAAGGAAAAAGACAAGGUCAAACCAGUGGGUAAAACAAAGUGCUCUUCUACUAUAUUAUCUAUGUGUAUUCAUACAACCUGGAUAACUAAUGGUAUUAAUUUUACUGCGGAUGUAGAAAGUGCUUUGUUACAUUGAGUUACAAUUUAUUGUUGUUAUCCAUCUAGAGAAAGACUCCAAACAAACUCAUGUGAUUGGUUAAACAUAUUCACAAAAUGAGCAGAGUAGAUACAAACCAGGUACAACCCAGUUUAAAAAAAUGACAGGAUUAUAGUUCAAAUAAAUAAUACCAGUUUACAGGAAGCUAAUGCAGCAACGUAUAUCAUUUUCCUUCAAUUUGGGAGAUUUGUGUGUAUCACUGAUCUGUUCAAUUUAAUUCAAAGAAUAAUGCAAACAUUUUUCCCGCAUGACCAUUAUUUACAUAAACAGGCUUCUACUAAUCCAAUACUGAGAAAGGUAAACAUUCUUUCAGAGUCAAUGUGGCAAUAUUGGAUUUAUAGUAUCUUUGGGGGUAUAGAAUUAAGGUUAAAAGGAUGUUACACAAUACAGUUGGCCGCUGUUUCAUGGUGGAUCUCAUAUAUUCAGACAUAUUUUCAUUACAUCCCUUAGUUUCUCUGGAAGUCUGCCCUCUACAGCAUGUGAUACAUUUUGGGCCUGUUAUAUUUAUUGUCAUGUUUAAAACACUGUAAUGCUUAAGCAUUUUAAUUAGUACUCUGCACUUUAUCAUGAUCAUUGCUCAAGCUUGCCUAAUGAAGUUUGUAUGCCCCAAAUCUCCAUCAAAGGAAACUAUUAACGUGUAUGGUAAUGAAUAAGAGGCUUACAUCUUUCCCAUUCAGACCAGGAAAUAACAGCUCUACUUUGGGUUGGCCAAGCAAAAUAAACACUUAUCAAUAUUAUGUUCAGGGUUUGAGGCAUUGGCUAUCUUUUAGUGGAGACUACAGUUGCUCCACAUUCAUGUAACACAUGGUUUUGUUUUAUAAUAAAUCAUCAUGAGAUUUCACUGUCAGGUUAUGUUCUAACUUUCCUCAGCUCAAUAGUAACUGCAAGCAUGGUUCCUAUGGUUAUAGAGGGAAACUAAAAGAGACAAAUCAAAUAUGAUCCAUCCGCAUAUUCCUUUAUAAUCCUUCUCUAAUGGCUGUCUUUAAGGGCCAUGAGGGUGUGAUUGGUUAUGUAGCCUAGUCAGUUUUUUUUUUUGCAUGCAUAGCUGCCUGAGAGGCAAGUAAAUGUGAUGGUUUCAGAUUUGAUUAGGCAGCCCACGGGCCUCAGCAGUCCAGCCCUGCGACGGGCAGGCAGGGGCCUUGUACAAGCGUCUCAUUGCUCACCAUGCCUCAGUGGUGAUGUACACACCAAGUGUGACCACUGCUUGAUUUAAACAGUCCACCCUGGAUCUGAGGGUGCGCUCGAUGCAAGUUUGUAACCCAUCCAUCUAGCGAACACUGGACAUUGGUCUCACCCAAUUACUUUUGGGAUACCAUUCUAGUGCAUUUAUGUUUGGAGUAAGUGACACGCUGUUGUUAGAUUAUAUCAUUGAAAUAUGUGUACAUGAGUUUUUCUGUUAUGAAAGAAUGACUCUACUUUCUACCUUCUGUCACAAGUUCUGUAUUUCAUGUUUUACUGUAUAGAAUCAUUCAAAAUCAGGGGUGGAAUUGAAGUAAUUUGACACUGGCCAGCUGGGCUAGUAGACCACCCAUUUUUAUAUGUCCAGUCCAGAAUCUAUGUCAAGAGAUAUAUUUGAAAA